This 2121-nucleotide long non-coding RNA is filed under the name Elaeis guineensis (African oil palm). Its description in RNAcentral is "long non-coding RNA (EGUI_LNC069412)". Lineage: Eukaryota; Viridiplantae; Streptophyta; Magnoliopsida; Arecales; Arecaceae. The record is from RNAcentral.
UUAUAUCAGGAAUCUUAAAGAGAAGAUACCACAGCUGAUUGUCCAACUAGCGAAAGAAAAUGGAAACUGGAGCGAAAGAAGAAGGAGCUCGCAGACGAGACAGUGUGCAGAGAUGAUGAAGUUUGCUUCACACUUGGUUGUCGGAAAGAAAGUCCUGUCCAGUCUUGAACUAAUCAACUACUCUACUUAACUCAGCAAGUAAAAGACAAAGAAAGCAAGUCAACCCUAUAUUCCAUUCCAAAAGAAUCUUUCCCUCCAACCGAAAUCAGAAGAGCCGCCCUCGAGGUGGGGAAGAGGCGCCCGUCCAUUCCUUCCCAUCCGAGUAACAUAACCCUAUCAACAGUCCUUCAAGUGAGAUAAGAACUCAAUAGAUUCAAUAUUAUACAUAGACUGUACUAAUCAAAAGAAGAAGAAGGGCUUCGUUACGCUAUGCUUUUCCCUACUAGGGCUUUUCUUGUCUACAUUAGUUCAAGUAUGAGAGAAUGAAUUCCUCUAGCUAAGUUCCCUAUCGAGAGGGAAGAGAAGUUCGGAGCUUAAGGUAGUAAGGUAGUUCAGUCACCCUCAGGUCAUAAUAGAGUCUAGUAUGACAUCGGUAGGAAGAUAAUGCAGCUAAGGCAAAACUUGCUUCUGAGGCAUGUCUGACUUUACUUGCUGUUGCCGAUAUGAUCUUUUCUUGAAGAAGUAGAGUUUGUUGUUAUCGUAGAUAAGAGUUCCAGAAUGGAUAUAGAUAAGGGUAAUCGUAAUAAUUGAUUACUCUGAGUCAAAGCUGGACUUCAACUACCUACCGUCUAUUAGGGAACCCAGACAGCCUAUGAGCUCAAAGGAAAACUCUUCGCUGCCUUAGUUGUCGGGCUGGGGGAUAUGUACACCAUUCGCCUUAACUACGUCAAAGACUGAUUUAGAAAUUGUGAGUUCACCUAGAAAGAUCUAAGUGAGUAGAGGAAUUGGCUACUAGGCAUCUAUGAAGUCCCCCCUUGCGUGAGACUCUUGUUUAGGGUUGGAGUCCCCAGUAUCCAAUCUGUGAACGAAUGAAUCACAAGAAUCGGUACAAUCCCUUUUUUGUCAUCCAGCGGGAGGUCAGUCAAUCUACUCGAUUUCAUAAACUAGAAUUACAAGAUCAGAAAGAGCUCAGCUUAGUGAGGCUUUUUUACUCACAUACGAAAACAACAGUACGAGGCGAAAACUCAAACUUUUGAAAGGCUACCUUAAUCUUUAUUUAUUCCACAUCUUCAUCAGCAACAGCAAUCCACUUGCUUAAUUAGCACUCCGAGUCAGUAUCCAAGAAAGUCAAGGUUCUUGAACGAAAUCCAAUCAAGUCGAAAAAGUCCUAUAAUCUCUUUCUUUUCCACAUCUCAAUCUUACAUGAGCCAUGAAUGAGGCUAUGAGAGCACUAAGCAAAGGGGGAAGUAGGCGAACCUAUGGGUCUUCUUAGCAAAAAAGCCUCCUUUCGGGUGGAGGGCGGGAAGAGCACAGGAAUGACUACAAAGAAGACUGAAAACUUCCAUCGAGAAUGUCGAUCCAUAGAGAAAUCGAAGCAUAUCGAGACCAGGAAAGAAAGGCUUGGCUAACCACUGAUAGUAGGAUUGACGACUUUUCUCGGUAGGGGAGUAGAACUGGAUCGAAGUUGGAUGGCCAUUCACUAAAGAAAAUGCCAUUCAUCGAUUUUCACACGGGUAGGAAGAAAGUUCUCCACCCGAUCGCUCUUGGGACAACAGCUUGUGAGGGAAAGACGGUGAUAGCGGAUUCAGCAUGGGAAGGUAGAACAUGGAUCUCGAUGUCCGAUCAUUGAGAAAGGAAGGAUGCUUCGCUUGUCGGUUUGGAUUGCUUCAUCAAAGACACGAUCUAGAGAAGGAAGGUGUCAUCCGUCGUCCGGUCUCCUUUGAUUUGAUGCUCACUCCACUUUGAACUGAACUAAUGUCGUAUGUUAACGAGUCUGUCUAUCCAUACCUGUGCACGUAUGAUUUUCUUUCUUUCUCCUGGGCCCCUCUGGGGAAAUCCUUUGCUGACUGCGGGCACCCCCUAGUCAACACGAGUGGUUUUAUCCCGAUCCAUAAUAGUAUGUCAUGAUAGAUGAUUGAUGAGAAUGCGAGCACCUAUGAUCUUAUGAAGCAGAUGCUUUUU